RNAcentral lists this ribosomal RNA (307 nucleotides) under bacterium enrichment culture. RNAcentral describes it as "bacterial SSU rRNA". It matches the Rfam family "Bacterial small subunit ribosomal RNA", at positions 20 to 355 of the family's 1533-position model. The record is from RNAcentral.
UGGCUCAGAAUGAACGCUGGCGGCAUGCCUAACACAUGCAAGUCGAACGAAGCCUUCGGGCUUAGUGGCGCACGGGUGCGUAACGCGUGGGAAUCUACCCUUGGGUUUGGAAUAACAGUUAGAAAUGACUGCUAAUACCAAAUAAUGUCGCAAGACCAAAGAUUUAUCGCCCAAGGAUGAGCCCGCGUGAGAUUAGGUAGUUGGUGAGGUAAAAGCUCACCAAGCCGACGAUCUCUAGCUGGUCUGAGAGGAUGAUCAGCCACACUGGGACUGAGACACGGCCCAGACUCCUACGGGAGGCAGCAGU